This is a non-coding RNA of Lonchura striata (white-rumped munia), 544 nucleotides long. NCBI's taxonomy places the organism in Eukaryota, Metazoa, Chordata, Aves, Passeriformes, Estrildidae. The record is from RefSeq and is a predicted model, not a curated record.
GUGUGGAGGAUGAGGAUUGUUAUAAAUUGAGGCGAAUAAUUUGAUUCAGCCUUUUAAGAUCAAUUAAUAAUUUUAUUAAUUACAGCAAGCGAUAGCAAGCAAAACAGCACUGGGUUCAGCUGGGAGCCUGGCUCCGCCAAAAGCUGACAACCUUUCCUUCUCUUCAGUCCCUUUUUAUCCAGCACCAGUGGGGGUGAUGGGUUUCCUUCCACUGUGGUUAUCAGUCCCAGCAGUAGUUUGUUUGACAAGUGGAGGUGAUGGAUCUCCUUCCCCUGCGGUUAUCAGUUCCAGCCAGUCCUGCAAAAUCUUUCACAGUCUUUGUUUGUGGUUACCAGUCAAGCCUGCAAAUUCCAUGUCCCGACUUCCCCCCCUUUUAUCCUAAUUUCAUACUUUUGAUGAACAAACAAGUCAAUGCAGUUCCUCACACACAGAACUGGUGUUAAUGCUUUUUCAGAGUGUUUGAAGAACGAAUCUCAGGUGAGAUUUAUCUCCUUGAUAAAUCUGUUCUUUGGGUUCCUUCUGGUCCCCAGGUGACCACCCUGCC